Molecule: long non-coding RNA, 4153 nt
Filed under: Homo sapiens (human)
Lineage: Eukaryota; Metazoa; Chordata; Mammalia; Primates; Hominidae
Description: uncharacterized LOC100996318 (LOC100996318)
Source: RNAcentral
AUGGGCCCAAGACCCUCACAGGUGAAGCCUCGGUAGGUCCCAGGGAGAAGAAAGAUAUUCCUCCACCCCACCACCCCUCUAAGUCCGACCCACCUUUCUCCCCGCCAGCUGCAUCAGAUCCCUCCAGGGGCUCAUUGUCAGUCCUGUAAUCUUUUCGUCCGUGAUAGGAUGGGCCGUGGGCCCUUGUGAGUGAAGCUCGGCGGUUCCCGAGUCCAUGUGGGGUGGCCCCUGCGGAGCCUGGAGCCUUCUUGCCCGCUGGCUUGCUGAUCCCGCUGAGCCAGCUCCCUUCCUGCUUUUGACGGUGAGGGAACCAGCUGGGAGGUCCUCCGAGCUGGACGGGGAGGCGGGCGGCCUCUCCCACUCCCCACCCGCUCCCUCCCUGCCGCCGCCGCCUCCGGCUGCUCUUGCGACAAGCCAAGAAGCUGGGGCGCCUGCUGGGAGCCCAGCGCCGUCCUCCCGUUUCCUGUGAUCUACCAGUCCUCCUCUCCGCGGAGGCUUGGCCGGGCGCACCUGAGGCCGGCAGCAUCCCCGUGGCUUGGCGGCAGCUGCAACCUCCACAGACGGCCGCCAGGUGGCGCCACGCCGGGGCCCGAGAGCAGGCGGGCCCGGGGCGGGGUUGGAGGGACUCAGCUACGCGCCUGGGGAGGCCGCGGGCCCUCGCAGACUACCGAACUUCCAUUCUGCCGCCGGGUUUUCACACCUGCCGGCCCCGAGGAAACAAUGACGUUGGGAUUUUGGGGGGCCGCCCCUUGACUCGGGCGAAUGGGACACGAACGGCGACCCCUUGCUCUCUUCCAUCCGCCUGCCGCCGUUGCUGCCCACCGACUCCUACAGCUCAUUUCUCGCUCCUGCAGGCUCCAGGAAUGCAAAUAAUUUCUCACUGGGUUUUGGCGGGGGCGCGGAGCUGCGGAGAAGCGCGCGCCCGACAGCUUUCGCCGCAGCUGGGUCCCCGGGCGCUGGCGGCUGCGGCCCCCAGAUACGGGCGGAGGCUGCAAUAUGCACAUGCGGCCACAGUGUGGCUCCAGGGGCCCGCCGCGGGACACGCUCGGAGCGCGACGCCCCAUCCCAUCAUUUACGGAUCAAACCAAAUAAUCUAGAAUCAAGUUGCUGUGUGUGUCAUACUCCUCCUGUUUUUUUUCCCUAAACUUUUAGUAGAGUCAUUUACAUAGUUCAGUUUUUACCUCAGCUAUGUUACACAGUGGCAGGAAAAUAUUUUGUCUCCAAACUACAGCCCAAGUAUGAGAGCAGCGUAUCCUGAAGCUAAUUAGUAACCAGAAAAUCAGGAAGGUAAAGCAAAUCUCUGGAGGCAAGAUCUGGACUCUAUGAUAUCGCCGCUUCUCCCCACUUGAAGCGUCUCUUUGCAGUGCCGCACUUGGAGAUUUGGACUUAAUCGUUAAACAAAAAGAACAGUUACAUUCUGCCUUCCUACAGGGCAGGGGCCUAGGACUGGCAACAUUUUUGUUGUCUCUAGAAAUAGAGGGGUUAUGAGAGAGCCUCAAAAGAGAGGGCAAGAAUAACACAUCCAUUUCUCAUCAUGAGUUACCCCCUUGUAUGCCUAGAACGCGUAUGGAGACAUUCUCUUUUAGUAAAGUCAAAGAGAAAAGCCAUGAACUAAGUAUCCUGAACACAGAGGCGUGAGCCCUCUCAGUCUCACAGUCCCUUAGGAGUCAUUUAUCUCAGAAGUUGGUUGAAACAAAAACAGUUCAUACAGCAUGGUAGGCAGAAUUCUAAAAUGAUCCCAAUGACUCACUCCCUUGCAUAAUCCCCUUGAGUGUGGGUGGAACCUAUGACUUGCUUCUAGCCAACAGAAUAUGACAAGGGUGAUGAAAUGUCACUCUUGGGAUUGCUACAUUAUGUAAGACUCUAUCUUAGCAGUCUGGAUGGAAAGUCUCCUCCUGAACUUGAAGAGGUAAGCUGCCACGCCAGGAGAGGGCCUGCAAGAGUGCCACAAGGCAAGGGCCUCUAGGAGCUGAGAGUGGCCCCCCACUGAUGGGCAGCAAGAAAGCAGGAACCUCAGUCCUACAACCACAAAGAACUGAAUUCUGCCAGUGACCUUGUGAGCCUGGAAGAGCUGCAAAAAGAAACACAGCAAAGUCAACACCCUAACUGCAGCCUUGGAAGACUCUCAGCAGAGCACUCAGCUAAGCUGUGAUGGGAGUCCUGACCCAUGGAAACUGGAAGAUCUUAAAUGUAUGUUGUUGCUAAAUUUGUUACACAGCAAUAGAAAACAAAUACACUCCAACUCUUGACAAAUUUGUUAAUAGGACCACGCAUCCUGAGACAAACACACAGAAGGGCAAACAUCCAGAUAUAAACAUCCUACUACAUUGAUAUGAAUACUCACAUAUGUAAGAUCAAUGAUAUCACUAGCAAAACAAGCUCCAAGUCAAUGGGUUUUUCCUUUCGACAAACACCUCUACACAUAACCAAAAAUGCUUCAACUACUUUUCUUUUCUCCAGAGGCAGUUGGUUUGGCUAAGUAAAAAUGGGGUUCUUAGGAGACUAAGGCGGAAAAGAGACAAUAGUGCCUUUUUCCCCUCCAGAACUUAUCUAAGAAUGGAAGACAGGUGUUUCUAUGCUAUACAUAGCAUGAAUUUUACAGUCAUGGAUACUGAUAUAAUGCUUCCAAAUAGAAUUAAUUCUCUUCCCUCCCUUAUUCCCACCCACAGCCAGCAGAUGCUGAAAGACUGCACUGCCCAAACACUGCCAUCUUUGCUUUAUAUAUCCAAAAGAGUGGGAAAUGCUGUCACAUCUCCAUCAGAAACUGUCAAACACUAGUAAUGGUAGAAAAUAUCUGAAUGACACAAUUAAUAGGCUUGAUUUUGUGGAUGCUCUACUUUAGAAAGAAAAUUCAUAUGCUUUUCAAACACACAUGCAAUAUUAGAAAAAUUAAGUGUGAACUAGACCACAAAGCAAUUUUCAACAAAUACUAAUGAACUGAUACCAUGUUUAACACAAAUUCUAACCAAAGUGCUAUAACAUUAGAAAUCAAUAACAAAAAACUACCCUCCAAAAAACAUCUAAGUAAUUCAUGAAUAAAAUAAUGUAUAAUGGAAAUUUAUGAGUUUUUAAACUUAAGUGGUAAUGGUAGUAUUAUAUAUCAAAACUCAAGAGAUGCAGCUUUUAGCAGACAUUACUAAUUUCCUACUCAACAAUCAUUCCCCUACCUUCAUGACUUUGGUGUCAGCCAUAUGAUUAGGGCUCGGGUCCACCAACCAGCUGCAUUUUCUUGGUCUUAGCAUAUACUGAUUAAAUUGAAAUGACUAAGAGUCAGUGAGCUGCAAUUGAAUUCCCCAUGGCUGACUGUGGCGAAACAUUUUAAAAUAGGGCAUAGACAGCACCAACCAAAAAUGUUGGUGUAUUGUACUGUAGUAAAAUUAACAAGUCUUGUUCAUUGAAAACAAACAAAACUUUAAUAUUAUAGUGAAAAGAAAAGCCACAGAGUGGGAGAAGAUAUUUAAGACUCUUGAAAAAGGACUUAUAUCCAGAAUAUAUAAAUAACUCCUAUAAGUCAGUAAGAAAAAGACAGACAAUAGAAAAAUUAUCAAAAAGACCUUACAAAAAAGGAUACCCAAAUAGGUAAUAAAUGUGAAAAAUGGUCAAUAUCAUAGUCAUUAGGGAAAUGCUUAAUUUGCAUUUGUAUAUCCAAAAGAGUGGGAAAUUGUAACAUACCUCCAUCAGAUACUGUUGAACAUUAGUAAUGGUAGAAAAUAUUUGAAACAUGUAAACAAAAAUAUCCACAGCAUUACUAUUUGUAAGUGGUCAAAACCAGAAGCAACCCGAGCCCCUCAGCAGAAUGGGAAAAUAUGAAAUAUACAGUAAUAAGAACAAAUGAACUUCAAUUUACAACAUGUAUACAGUUCACAAUCAUAAUGUUGAGAAAAAUAAACCAGACACAAAAGAGUACAUCCUGUCCCAUACCGUAGCCCUUUAUAUGAAGUUCAAAAACAGGCAAAAAACCUAUGGUGCUGGAAGUCAGUGUCAGGGGUGGACUAGAAAUGGGCAAGAAGGAGUUUCUGAGGUGCUGGAAAUGUCUAAAAUAGAUCUGGAUGCUGUUUACUUUGAAAAAAUUUACUGUGGCGUACAUUUAUGGCUUAUUGUACAUAAGUUAUAUUUCAAUGAAAAUUCACAUUAAAAUGUAAUGUAAAAAAGA